UACGUAGGCAGCGAGCGUUGUUCGGAGUUACUGGGCGUAAAGCGUGCGUAGGCGGUGUCCUAAGUCUGGUGUGAAAUCUCCCGGCUCAACUGGGAGGGUGCGCUAGAAACUGGGAUGCUAGAGUGUGGGAGAGGUAAGCGGAAUUCCUGGUGUAGCGGUGAAAUGCGUAGAUAUCAGGAGGAACACCUGCGGUGUAGACGGCUUACUGGACCAUGACUGACGCUGAGGCACGAAAGCGUGGGGAGCAAACAGG
Molecule: ribosomal RNA, 253 nt
Filed under: uncultured bacterium
Lineage: Bacteria
Description: partial 16S ribosomal RNA
Rfam family: Bacterial small subunit ribosomal RNA
Source: RNAcentral